RNAcentral lists this unclassified non-coding RNA (762 nucleotides) under Hevea brasiliensis (rubber tree). The record is from RNAcentral. Lineage: Eukaryota; Viridiplantae; Streptophyta; Magnoliopsida; Malpighiales; Euphorbiaceae.
AAUGCAAGAUACAAAAUACAGAAGUCAGCAAUGUUUAAGAGAUUGUCAAUUUUAAAAACAAAUAUUUAAUAAAUACAAUCCCCCAAAACAGAAAUCAUCUUUUAGUGCAAUGUAAACCUACAAAGGAUGAUCCGUGUGGAAAGCAUAUGGUAAUAUUCUAGCAUACCUUGCAACUCCUCCUACAGUAUCCAGGAAGGUCUGGAGACCCUACCAUGUACUCUGGGUUUUUGGUGCAUUCCCCAAGGGCAGCCCACCUAUCACAACCCUCAUUCAGAUCUGUGCAGUUCCCACCAGCUUCCAAGUUCUUGCUAAAUGAGUCCACAUGAAUCCACUUUGUGGCAGACCAUUUCUCACCUUCAAUCACUGGGCAUCCAGCAUGAAGACUGCUUGGGUCUGGAAUGGCGUUAGGAUGGAGACUAAAGAAAAGAAGGGCAUCACCUCUUCGUGGUUUCACUGCAAUUCCUUUCUUUGCACAUUCAGAGAGUUCUUCAUCACUUACAGUAGCUUUUCGUCGAGGAGGUUCCUCUGCAGAGGGAAACACAGUUUCUCCGCCUUUUACCACAUCAGUAAGAUACAUGAGCACAGUUGCCGAGCGAUGUCCACCACGAGCAAUAUUAACCUUGUCAACAAAGUAAUCAUAGUGUGGAUCAUAUUUUUGCCCAUGCUCAUAUCUUAAAACUUGAAUGUCUUCCCCAUUUUCUUUUGGAAGAAAGGUCCAUGUUGCAAUUUUGUCCUCUAUACCUGCAACGAUUGGAUCCUUUC